This 4593-nucleotide long non-coding RNA is filed under the name Canis lupus familiaris (dog). Its description in RNAcentral is "lncRNA (ENSCAFG00845016994.1)". Lineage: Eukaryota; Metazoa; Chordata; Mammalia; Carnivora; Canidae. The record is from RNAcentral.
GCCCUCCCGGGCGAUGGCGGCCCGCGGGGACCCGGGCGGCGGCGGCGGGGCGACGGCCGCGGCGCCUGCGGGCCGGCGUGAUUGAUAGGGACGGGGCGGCGGAGCGGCGGCGGCGGCGGAGCGCUUGAGUGACAGCUUACCUGGGUGCCAAUCUUCAUCACACUGACAAGCGGCUGCAGCAAUCGGGACCCGCAGUGCCGCGCCCGCGUCCAACCGUCACGCCGACGCUGGGCCACGCGACACAGCCUCGCUCAAUGGGAGGAGGGCGACGCCGACGCGCGCCGCAUCAAUAUUCAGGCGGGGGGCGGGGCCUGCGCCGCCCGGGCCCCGCCCCGUCCCUGCGCCGCGGCGGCGCGGGGCGGGGCCUGCGCGCGGGGGCGGGGCCUGCGCGCGGGGGGCGGGGCCGGCGCCUCGGGGGCGGGGAGCGAGGCGGGGGCGGGCGGCGGCCGGCCCCGCCCCCGCCUCGCGCCCGCGCCGGGCUCCGCCCCCAGCAGGGCGCGCCGGGGAGGGCGAGGAGCGGCCCGGCCUCAUGACUAUGCAGCAGGGGGCGGGGCCGCGGUGGGCGGAACCAUCGGCCGCGGGCCGGCGGGGAGGGCGGGCCGGACCAUCGGGCCGGCCGGGGCGCGACCUGGCGCAGUUGCCACAGCACAGAGGCGAGCCUUGGGCAGCCGUAGGAAUGCAGUUCAGAAAGGAAACAAGUAUCACACCGGAACCGCCCGAUGCCUUCAAAGCCGCUGAGCGAGAAAAGCGACAUCAGACUUCCAUCCCGGUUUUACACGACUUCUAUACGGUGUGUUGGCUUACAUCCAAGAGCAGAAGUUAAGGCUGUCUCUAUUUUUGGUGAACAGCUGCAUGGGUCAUGAUUAUGAUGAGGGAACGGAGGACUAGCUGAGGACAAGGCACAUCGACAAGUCCUUGAAAAGGCAGAGGGACCUUCCUCUACGGACUCAGCUGCCUGGAUGUUCAUACCUCGCUAAGGGCAGAAGGCAACCUCAGCCCGACCCCCAGGAGCCUGGAAGUCUACUUUAACAUAUAAAAAUUUCUUUAGAAAUGGUCCUUUAUCGGGCAGCUCUGGUGGCUCAACGGUUUAGUGCCGCCUUUGGCCCAGGGCCUGAUCCUGGAGUCCUGGGAUCGAAUCCCACGUCGGGCUCCCUGCAUGGGCUUCUCCCUCUGCCUGUGUCUCUGCCUCUGUGUGUGUGUGUGUCUCGUGAAUGAAUGAAAAUAAAAUCUUUUUUUAAAAAUGUCCUUUAUCUCUAAACCCCCACAAUACAUGUUGACGAUCAUCCCCAAGCACACGGCCCACCGAUACACAUCUGAAGGGUCUCAUGCCUCGGAUUUAUUAGAGGGUAAUAAGUGACCUUUGCCCAACAAUAGCUGCCCCUCAGGAAACCUUGCUGGAAACGUUGCUUCCAAGCUUCCUUCGAGAGGACGCCAUCCUCAAACCCCUCCCUACUCCCAGGUGUGUAACCAGCCUCCCCUCACAGGCCCCGGGCCGCCGCUCUUCCUGCCCACGGGCCCGUCCCCGGGCUUCCAUAAACCCCCCACUCUGCACCAAAGACGCCUCCGGAAUCCUUUCUUGGUCGUCGGCUCCGGGCCUCACCUGUAUUCCAAGAUUUCACCACUAAUGGCACAAAGGUACUUAAUGCCCUGCGUGGGGGACGGCUCGAGGUUAAGGCUGCAGGCGGUGGGGGGAGGCAGGGCUUGAGCUGGUCUUGACGGAUGGCUAGGAUCUGGAGGCAUCACUAAGGAAAAUGAGCGAGAAAACCACUUAAAAAUAAGGCCAGGUUUUGGGAUCCCUGGGUGGCUCAGCGGUUUAGCACCUGCCUUCAGUUCAGGACGUGAUCCUGGAGUCCCGGGAUUGAGUCCCACAUCAGGCUCCCUGCAUGGAGCCUGCUUCUCCCUCUGCCUGUGUCUCUGUCUCUGCCUCUCUCUGGGUCUUUCACGAAUAAAUAAAUAAAAUCUUAAAAAAAAAAAAAUAAGGGCAGGUCUCUAAGCUAAUUAAGGCAGCCAGGGUGGCUGAUGUAUAAACUGCCCCAGGUUGCAUGGGUGGACAGGGGCCCCAAGGCACCAGCAGUGCUGGGCUGCAACCAUGGGAUGAUCUUUUUUUUUUUUUUUCUUUUUUAUUCAUGAGAGAUACCGAGAGAGAGGCAGAGACACAGGCAGAGGGAGAAGCAGGCUCCAUGCAGGGAGCCCGACGUGGGACUCGAUCCCAGGGCUCUGGGAUCACACCCUGGGCUGAAGGUGGCGCUAAACCCGCUGAGCCACCAGGGCUGCCCUGAUGGGGUGAUUCUUUUAAAAAUAUGAGUCAGGGGGCACCUGGGUGGCGGCUCAGUCGCCUUUGGCUCAGGUUGUGAUCCCAAGAUCCUAGGCUCAAGCCCCGCAUCGGGCUCCAGAUCAGCGGAGAGUCUGCUCCUCUCUCUCUCUCAAUAAAUGAGUAAAUAAAACCUUAAAAGUGUUUAAGUCAGAUCACGUCACUGUUCAGCUCAACCCCUUGGAGGCUCCCCAUCAUAUUCACCGUAAAAGCCAAGUCUUUACAGUAGUAGCCAAAGGGGACCUGCAGGAUUCUGUGCCCCCGGGACACUUGGGUGGCUCAGGGGUUGAGUGUCUGCCUUUGGCUCAGGGAUGGAGUCCCAUCGAGCUCCCUGCAGGGAGCCUGCUUCUACGUCUACUGUUUCACCACCACCACCACCCCAGACACAUGCAAACACUAGAAUUUACACUUCCUAAGAGCACGAAUUUCACUUCACUGAUGGAUGCUGAGCACCUGGACAGGUGCCUGACAAACUAGUAUUUGCCGAACGCAUGAAUGAAGGUGUCUAAGACCCGGUGUAUUAGCAAUCCAUCGCUUUGUAACAAAUUACCACAAACUUAGUGGCUCCAAACAACACGCAUUUAUCAUCUCACGGCUUCUGCUCCUCGGGAAUACAGGCCUGGCUUGACUGGGUCCUCUGCCUCAGGGUCUCACAGGUGCCAGCCAGGACUGGGGGGCUCCUUGGAAGGCUCCACUGGGGAUGGAUCCAUCUCCAAGCUCACAUGGUUGUUAUCAGGGCUCAUUUCCUGGUGGGCGGAUGGUCUGAGGGUCUCAGCUCCUUGCUGGCAUUUGGCAGGAGGUCACCUUCAGUUUCUUGCCACCUGGACCUCUUUAUGGGGGGAACUCAUGACCGGCAGCUUGCUUCAUUAAGGCCAGCAAGGAACAGAGUCUGCUAGGAAGACAGAAAUAACAUUUUUUUUUUAAGAUUUUUUUUUUUUUAAUUCAUGUGAGACACGGAGAGAGAGGCAGAGACACAGGCAGAGGGAGAAGUAGGCUCCAUGCAGGGAGCCCGAUGCGGGACUCGAUCCCUGGACCCCGGGAUCACGCCCUGAGCCCAAGGCAGAUGCUCAGCCACUGAGCCACCCGGGCAUCCCAGAAGUGACAUCUCAUCACUUUUGCUGUACUCUAUUGGUGAGAAGAAAGUCCCAGGUCCCGCUCACACUCGAGGGGAGAUCACAUGAAGACAGGACCUCCAGGAGGAGAGGAUCCCAGCAGGCCACUCAGGGGCUGCUCACACGAGACAGUUUCCUUGUCCGUGUUAAAGAGACAGUUGCGGGGGGCUCAAGGGGUUAAACAUCCAACUCUUAGUCUGGCUCAGGUCAUGAUCUCGGGGUUGUGAGAUGAAGCCCCACAUUGGGCUCCGUGCUCAUCAGAGUCAGCUGGACAUUCUCUCUCUCUCCCUCUGCUUGCUGUUUCUCUUCAUCUCUCUCUAAAACAAAUGAAUGAAUGAAUGAAUGAAUGAAUGAAUGAAUCAAUACAUAAAUAUCUUAGAGAGAGACGCUUGUGGUAUGGUCAAAGGAGCCCUGGGCUUGCAGCCCGCAGUCCGGGUACAAAGUCUGGCUUUGCCACUUGCCAGGUAAACCCCAGGAGGCAGUUUCAUUCCAGGGUUCAGUUCCCUGUCUUCAGGGGGGCAGGGGGGGCCGCGGUACCUGUCUGAGAGGCUUGCACAGAGGGGAAAAUGGGGCUGCAGAUGGAAAGUGCUGGGGGCGCCGGGCUAGCAGAGCUCGUGAAGAGCUCCGGCUGGGAGGAGGGGUCCCAACACGCACACUUUUAUUCCCAAGCCUUGGCUUUCUCGAGAGAACGAUCCCGACAGUGAAGUCCUAAGAGAUCAGGAGACGCUGUCCUCACCACCAUCCCUCAAGGAUCCCAGCAAAACGCGGCGGGGAACGGCAGCCGCAGCCACAUGCAGGGUGGACCGAUGUCCAACAAGCUGUGAACCGAAGGAAGAAUCCUGAGCCUCGUGCGGGUCCACAGGCAGCGUGUGCCAGACGCCCGCCUUCCUGACUCCCAACCCGGAGAACUGGUAAGAUGGUGCGAGCGAUGGGGGAAAGGCUUAGGCUUCGGAGCCGAGGGCCAAGAAAGAAUUCUUGAGAUAUCUUUGGUUCAAAAAGGUGAUUUUAGGGCACCCGGGUGGUUCAGUGGUUGAGCAUCUGCCUUUGGCUCAGGGCGUGACCCCGGGGUCCUGGGAUCGAGUCCUGCAUCUGGCUCCUGCAUGGAGCCUGCUUCUCUCUCUGCCUGUGUCUCUGCUUCUCUGUCUCUCUCUCUCUCUCUCUCUGGGUCUC